GUGAUUUGCAAUUUGGAGAUCGUUUGGGUGUUACAGCACUCUGCAGUCUCUGAGAGGAGGCAGAGGCAGCACGCGCGAACCUAGACAGAGAUUGAAUUAUUGAGGCAAUGCAGAAGGGACAUUCAUCUUUCCACGAGGUCUUCCGCAAACUGUGAGGCAAAAUGAAGGUUGUUCUGCUUCUUCUGUUUGCCAUUUGCCUCGGCAUAAGUACAGUUGCUGGCUUAGAAUGCUACUACUGUAAGGAUGCAUCAAGCAAUGAAGACUGCAAUAGAAAUCCAGUUCAAACUUGCAGUAGUAAUGAAGACAGAUGCUCCAUAUCUAAAGUCACAAUAAAUUUAUUUGGGACACAGACAACUGUCUUGACGAAAGGCUGCACUGAAAAUUCACGGUGCACGGGAAACACCGAUGUCUUAUUCGUCAAUACUGGAGUUAAAUGCUGUGAUUCAAAUUUAUGUAAUGUGAAUGGUUCAAUUAAUUUCUCUGCAAGAAAACUGCUGCUUAUGGCCUCUGCAAGUUUUCUUUACUUCAUCUAUAAGCUUACAAAUUAAGUUGAAUAAUGCAUCAUCUGCUUGAGGAGACCUGGUGAUAUAUAUUAUUAAUUUUACUUAAAUGGAAGCUGUAAUUGGGGCCAAUAUAGGCAAUAAUAUUCAUAAGUUUUGAUUUCUCUAUCACCAAAAUUAAUUUUUAAUAUUCUAGCUUUAUAGUCAUGUUGUUACUUAUAAACUGUAAUGAACUCACUUUGGGCAGAAUGUUACCACAGGUUCCAAGAUACCACCUAUCACAAAGGAAAAACAUCACAAUUAUUUCAUCAAAUUAAAGAAACCCAGGUGCAAAGUGAACACUCGCAGUACUUAUUAAAAGAUAUAUUUUAUAACAGUCAAAACCAUGAUCAGUAUAAAGCAACUUAAGACUAUUGGUCAGGACUUAAGUUUAAAAUAUAUUAAGAAAUCUUAAAGACUUAUUUUAAGCACAUGGACAAUUUUGUUAUGAAGUUACCAGGUAUAUCCUUGAUAUUAUUAUGAUAUUGUAUUCAAUGCCAAGAAAAUAUUUUAAAAAUAACUCACUCUAAUCUGCAAUAUUACCAGUACAUGUUCAAUAUUCUAUCUAUUAAUUUGUGAUUCAAUGUUUUAAGAGAACACAUUUUCAUAUCUAAGUGGAGUGUGCUUGAUGUAAUCAAUGAAAUGAAUGGAUUAGGAAGGCACUGAUCAUUGCAACAUGGAAGCUGGUGGCUAAUGAAGAUGAUGUGAUGAACAUGUACCUAUCUGUUAAGAACUUCAUUUCCCUGCUGCUCUCUACCUUAAAGAUGUUCCUUUAGCCUUACCAUUUUGACCCUUAUUUCAAUUAUUUGUCCUAAUAACACUCGAUGUAAAUCAAUAUAAAUUUUUUUUUAAU
Molecule: long non-coding RNA, 1392 nt
Organism: Mobula hypostoma (lesser devil ray)
Lineage: Eukaryota; Metazoa; Chordata; Chondrichthyes; Myliobatiformes; Myliobatidae
Exons: 4
Source: RefSeq, a predicted model, not a curated record